CAAGAACCAAGAAAUAUGAUGCAAGGAUGCAAAUGGUUUGAGCUAUCAACGAACGAUACAAUCAAACUACUCACUUGAGAGCCCCCCUUGAUAGUACGACAAUCUAUCCUAAAAUAGAAAAAUCUAUCAAGGGCAAACAUAUACCUUGCACCUAGCCUACUUAAGCUAGAUGAUGAUGACCUUGACUUCCUCAAGAUGGAC
RNAcentral lists this long non-coding RNA (201 nucleotides) under Hordeum vulgare. RNAcentral's name for it is "long non-coding RNA (HVUL_LNC018577)". The record is from RNAcentral. Lineage: Eukaryota; Viridiplantae; Streptophyta; Magnoliopsida; Poales; Poaceae.